Molecule: long non-coding RNA, 272 nt
Filed under: Elaeis guineensis (African oil palm)
Lineage: Eukaryota; Viridiplantae; Streptophyta; Magnoliopsida; Arecales; Arecaceae
Description: long non-coding RNA (EGUI_LNC071682)
Source: RNAcentral
GUGUUUGGUUGCCAGAACGUCGGGUGAUGAAUCGGAAGCACCGUCGGCUGAUCGGGUGCCUUAUGGAAGUCGGACGUCGGCUGCCACCCCCGGCAUAGAGUCGGUGAUACAGGUUUGGCCGUUCGAUCGGUCGAAAACAGUAUUGAUCUGUUUGGCCGGCAUACCUUUGGUCGGAUGUUGUCGGCGGUCACUGUCGGAGUCAUCUGUCCAUCCGGUGGGUAGAGUCGGACAUCGAUCGGAUCGUUUCGAAGAUAAGUCGGUGUAUAGGGGUC